This 495-nucleotide ribosomal RNA is filed under the name uncultured bacterium. RNAcentral's name for it is "partial 16S ribosomal RNA". It matches the Rfam family "Bacterial small subunit ribosomal RNA", at positions 28 to 507 of the family's 1533-position model. The record is from RNAcentral.
GACGAACGCUGGCGGCGUGCCUAAUACAUGCAAGUAGAACGCUGAAGGAGGAGCUUGCUUCUCUGGAUGAGUUGCGAACGGGUGAGUAACGCGUAGGUAACCUGCCUGGUAGCGGGGGAUAACUAUUGGAAACGAUAGCUAAUACCGCAUAAUAGUAGAUGUCGCAUGACAUUUGCUUAAAAGGUGCAAUUGCAUCACUACCAGAUGGUCCUGCGUUGUAUUAGCUAGUUGGUGAGGUAACGGCUCACCAAGGCAACGAUACAUAGCCGACCUGAGAGGGUGAUCGGCCACACUGGGACUGAGACACGGCCCAGACUCCUACGGGAGGCAGCAGUAGGGAAUCUUUGGCAAUGGACGGAAGGCUGACCGGGGAACGCCGCGUGAGGGAAGAAGGGUUUCGGAUCGGAAAGCUCUGUUGUAAGAGAAGAACGAGUGUGAGAGUGGAAAGUUCACACUGUGACGGUAUCUUACCAGAAAGGGACGGCUAACUACGUG